UAGGGAAUCUUCCACAAUGGACGCAAGUCUGAUGGAGCAACGCCGCGUGAGUGAAGAAGGUUUUCGGACCGUAAAGCUCUGUUGUUGGUGAAGAAGGAUAGAGGUAGUAACUGGCCUUUAUUUGACGGUAAUCAACCAGAAAGUCACGGCUAACUACGUGCCAGCAGCCGCGGUAAUCGUAGGUGGCAAGCGUUGUCCGGAUUUAUUGGGCGUAAAGCGAGCGCAGGCGGAAGAAUAAGUCUGAUGUGA
Molecule: ribosomal RNA, 249 nt
Filed under: uncultured bacterium
Lineage: Bacteria
Description: partial 16S ribosomal RNA
Rfam family: Bacterial small subunit ribosomal RNA
Source: RNAcentral